CUUGCUGCGGGUACUCGAGUGGCGAACGGGUGAGUAACACGUGGGUGAUCUGCCUUGCACUUCGGGAUAAGCUUGGGAAACUGGGUCUAAUACCGGAUAGGACAGCUGUUUAGUGUCAUUUUGUGGAAAGUUUUUUCGGUGCAAGAUGAGCUCGCGGCCUAUCAGCUUGUUGGUGGGGUAAUGGCCUACCAAGGCGUCGACGGGUAGCCGGCCUGAGAGGGUGUACGGCCACAUUGGGACUGAGAUACGGCCCAGACUCCUACGGGAGGCAGCAGUGGGGAAUAUUGCACAAUGGGCGGAAGCCUGAUGCAGCGACGCCGCGUGGGGGAUGAAGGCCUUCGGGUUGUAAACUCCUUUCGACAGGGACGAAGCGUAAGUGACGGUACCUGUAUAAGAAGCACCGGCUAACUACGUGCCAGCAGCCGCGGUAAUACGUAGGGUGCGAGCGUUGUCCGGAAUUACUGGGCGUAAAGAGCUCGUAGGUGGUUUGUCGCGUCGUCUGUGAAAUUCCGGGGCUUAACUCCGGGCGUGCAGGCGAUACGGGCUGACUUGAGUGCUGUAGGGGAGACUGGAAUUCCUGGUGUAGCGGUGAAAUGCGCAGAUAUCAGGAGGAACACCGAUGGCGAAGGCAGGUCUCUGGGCAGUAACUGACGCUGAGGAGCGAAAGCAUGGGUAGCGAACAGGAUUAGAUACCCUGGUAGUCCAUGCCGUAAACGGUGGGCGCUAGGUGUAGGGGGCUUCCACGUCUUCUGUGCCGUAGCUAACGCAUUAAGCGCCCCGCCUGGGGAGUACGCCGCAAGGCUA
This 804-nucleotide ribosomal RNA is filed under the name uncultured Actinomycetes bacterium. RNAcentral describes it as "bacterial SSU rRNA". It matches the Rfam family "Bacterial small subunit ribosomal RNA", at positions 74 to 896 of the family's 1533-position model. The record is from RNAcentral. Lineage: Bacteria; Bacillati; Actinomycetota; Actinomycetes.